RNAcentral lists this ribosomal RNA (585 nucleotides) under uncultured bacterium. Its description in RNAcentral is "partial 16S ribosomal RNA". It matches the Rfam family "Bacterial small subunit ribosomal RNA", at positions 355 to 1375 of the family's 1533-position model. The record is from RNAcentral.
UGGGGAAUUUUGGACAAUGGGCGAAAGCCUGAUCCAGCAAUGCCGCGUGUGUGAAAAGGCCUUCGGGUUGUAAAGCACUUUUGUCCGGAAAGAAAUCCUUGGCUCUAAUACAGUCGGGGGAUGACGGUACCGGAAGAAUAAGCACCGGCUAACUACGUGCCAGCAGCCGCGGUAAUACGUAGGGUGCAAGCGUUAAUCGGAAUUACUGGGCGUAAAGCGUGCGCAGGCGGUUUGCUAAGACCGAUGUGAAAUCCCCGGGCUCAACCUGGGAACUGCAUUGGUGACUGGCAGGCUAGAGUAUGGCAGAGGGGGGUAGAAUUCCACGUGUAGCAGUGAAAUGCGUAGAGAUGUGGAGGAAUACCGAUGGCGAAGGCAGCCCCCUGGGCCAAUACUGACGCUCAUGCACGAAAGCGUGGGGAGCAAACAGGAUUAGAUACCCUGGUAGUCCACGCCCUAAACGAUGUCAACUAGUUGUUGGGGAUUCAUUUUCCUUAGUAACGUAGCUAACGCGUGAAGUUGACCGCCUGGGGAGUACGGUCGCAAGAUUAAAACUCAAAUGAAUUGACGGGGUCAUAGCUGUUUCCU